CCUCGAACUUUCUUUUUAAAUAAAGUUUGGUUUUGUUGCAAUUUUUUUGCCAUUUUGUUUGAAUAUGGAUUUUGAUAAAUGUCUUUUGGCGUAAUGAGUUUUGAAGAUAGAGGAUUUGCGAAUUUUAGUAAAAAACUCGAUUUUUAUCCAACUUUAGCGAGUUAUAGCUUGACUUUUGCUAUUGCUCCUUGUCGCGUAUUAUUUAAUUAUUUGUUAAUUUGUUUAAUUAUUUAAUUAUUUGAUUAGGUGAAAAAGCUUUAAGAAAUUGGCAAGUCGAAGAAUUCGGAGGACUUGGUACGUAGCUAGGGUUUAUAAUUUUCAUCAUAUCUGUAUCUUUCAAUCAAACAUUCCCUUAAUUGAAAAGGCCAGCAAAUCUUAUAGCAGUGUAAAUGUGCUUUGAUUUGGAAAGUCAUCUUCUAGCUUCGGUCCAUACAUUUGAUUCUUUAUUCAAGAAAACUAGUGUAAAUGUGUUUUGAUUUUCGGUCCAUACUUGUCAGCUCUUUCAUGAACCCUUCAGUCCCCAGUUUCUACACCAUUGCCGGGAAGUAGUCCUCGAAAACCACCGUGUUCCUCUUCGAUCCCAUUGACCACCACAAUAACUCUAUCAAGUAAUGAGAAGUGAGAACAAUGACCUGAGGAAGCUAAUGAAAACUUGGAUGAAGUAGUGGCUGUUGCUAAAGAUCUUCAAACUGAGUUCAGGAGGUUUACACUUGGUCAUUUGGCUUAGUUAAAAAUUCUUGUUGCCUGAGGCAAUUGUGGCUAAGAAGGUGUUAGUGUUUGAUGAAAAGACAAGUUGUAUGAAGCCAGAUCUGCAUGUCACUAUUAACUAUGACGCGGUGGAGUAUGAAUCAGAGUUGCCAACCGAAGGCGGCUGGGCAUGCUGUUGAGGAAGUUGUUCCGUGCGCGGCUGAGAGAUUUUGUUGAAUCCCAUCCUGGGGUAUGCAAGUUUCUCCAACUACAGUGUUCAGUUGAUAAAAUUUAUUUUGAACAUUAACUUGUUGAAUCACAUUGCUUUCUGCUGGUUGCAGCAUUGAUUGCCUUUUCAAGUUCAGAAUUGCAUCAGUUACUUUUCCAAUUUUAUUUUCCCUCUUUACUUGUAAGGAACUAAGAAUCGUCCAAUGGAAUUCUAAUGAUCAAUGUUGAAAAUAUGAGA
This is a long non-coding RNA of Arachis ipaensis, 1153 nucleotides long. RefSeq lists it as uncharacterized. NCBI's taxonomy places the organism in Eukaryota, Viridiplantae, Streptophyta, Magnoliopsida, Fabales, Fabaceae. The record is from RefSeq and is a predicted model, not a curated record.